Molecule: long non-coding RNA, 2383 nt
Organism: Gasterosteus aculeatus aculeatus (three-spined stickleback)
Lineage: Eukaryota; Metazoa; Chordata; Actinopteri; Perciformes; Gasterosteidae
Source: Ensembl
ACGUGCAUACUUGUACACGUGUUUGUCUACGUGCAUACUUGUACACGUGUUUGUCUAUGUGCAUACUUGUACAUGUGUUUGGGGUCGUCGUGGCGCAGGGGCUAGAGAAGGUGUGCUGGGAAGCACAAGGUUGGUGGUUCGAGUCCGGGCUGCCCCAUGUUCAAUGUCGAAGUGUCCCUGAGCAAGACACCUAACCCCUAAUUGCUCCCCAGGCAAAAUGUGAAAAAGCCAUGGGUUUACAGUAUAAUGUAAGUCGCUUUGGAUAAAAGCGUCUGCUAAAUGACCUGUAAUGUAAUGUGUAUGUGCAUACUUGUUCAUGUGUUUGUGUAUGUGCAUACUUGUACAUGUGUUUGUGUACGUGCAUACUUGUUCAUGUGUAUGUGCAUACUUGUUCAUGUGUAUGUGCAUACUUGUACAUGUGUUUGUGUACGUGCAUACUUCAUGUUUGUGUACGUGCAUACUUGUACACGUGUUUGUGUACGUGCAUACUCGUACAUGUGUUUGCGUACAUGUGUUUGUGUACAUGCAUACUUGUUCAUGUGUACGUGCAUACUUGUUCAUGUGUUUGUGUACGUGCAUAGUUGUACAUGUGUUUGUGUACGUGCAUACUUGUUCAUGUGUUUGUGUACGUGCAUAGUUGUACAUGUGUUUGUGUACGUGCAUACUUCAUAUGUUUGUGUACGUGCAUACUUGUUCAUGUGUUUGUGUAUGUGCAUACUUGUACAUGUGUUUGUGUACGUGCAUACUUCAUAUGUUUGUGUACGUGCAUACUUGUACACGUGUUUGUCUACGUGCAUACUUCAUGUGUUUGUGUACAUGCAUGUGUCAGAGCAAAAAUGUUGGUCUUGUUAGUUGAUGACAUCAUAAACAGAUAAGUCAUACAGUUGUGGGGAAGGAAGAGGGGGGUGGGGAGCAGUAGUAGGAGUGUGCGUCUGGGUGGGACAUUUGUUGUCCAAUAUAAACAAGAGAGUCAGCUAUAAAUGAGUCUCUCCCCCUGCUCGGCUUUAAUAUUUCUGAAAGUUCGUCCUCGUUAAUCAUUAGUAAAGAAUAAAUGGAAAACGGUCUGCGUUGUUUCCACACACAAGCCAGCGUGUGCACACAUCAUUGGUUUGAGUGCUUCACUGAGGUCUUGAUUUGUCAUCUGGCCUCUAUCAGUUUGUGGUCUGACAGCUUAAUCGGUGUCAUUCAUCCUCUAACAUCAAAGAUUCAACAUACAAUCCAAACAUAUUACGCUUGCACACUCACAUAAGUAAAUGUGCAAGCCGACUAAACCUUCUCUGGAUGAAUUUUUAAAGAGCAAAUAUUCACAGUGAGGAAAUGCUGUUCAUAAGCUGUCCUCACCAAUUACUGUGCUCCCAAUAAAAACACAUUAAAGCAACAAAACAACUGAUCCCAAAGAAAUACAGUCCUCUUGGUGUCGUUGGACUUGAACGGAAGGCCUUUGUUCUUGAUCUAUGACCUUGACCUUUAAAAUCAAAUAAUGUCAACUGGUAGGCACUGGCGAAAGAGUUUUAGGAAUUACUGUGUGAUUUGAAGUCCAUGAUUAACUGUCUAAACUGGAAUUUCUUGGAUCUACAGUGAGACAUUAGUACGGUGCACUUAUGGUUUUAAAAUUCAACAGAAUAAUUCCAUCUGACCCGAUCUGUGCUUUACUCAAGCACAUCCUAUUAACCAUGGCACUUCCUGGGUGCUCUUGUGGCCACUGGAUAACGUCAUGACACGUCCUACCAUGUACUACUCUGCAUAGCAACAAUUACACAUUUUCCAACACAUUUUGACAAUUGUUGUUCCUAAUGAACGCACACAAUCUUGUUGGCUAAAUACAGUAAAGUCAUGUAAGGAAGCGGCUUAAUCCUCCUCUUACGUGGAUGAAUACACGAGCUGACACGUAGAACAGGAGUACUGAGAGAAGACGUGUGGAGUGAUGCCAUGUGCUCCAAACACAACCAGCCUGGACAAACAGUGGGGAUCGUAAGGCGACGGACGUCUGACCCCAGCUCUCUAACCCCCGGACCCUAUUAAGCCCUGUAAACGAGACAAAGAGGAGCAAUUAGAACGGCAGCCACGCGGCAGGUAGGAGAUCUCUGUGACCUUUCCUGGCUGGUAGUCGACCUCCCCCAGAUGGGGGCCAGGAUAAAUAUCCUCCUGGACAUCAAGAGAAUGCAUUUGCCGUAUUUCUCCCUGUACUUGGAAUCAAACACGUGUUGUUCAUCCUCCUCGAUACUUUCAUGUUCUAAACAAGGACUUUAUUUGAUGUGGGCGGCUCUGCAUUCCUCGAUCACAGAAAAUUACCCCCAGCGACAAUUUAGUCAAUUAAGAAUGCAAUGUGUUUUUGCAGCCAAAUUAAAUUUACUUACACUUAGACCAGCUGCUCCUAAAAUGU